CAAGUCGAACGCGAAAGUUCCCUUCGGGGGACAAGUAGAGUGGCGCACGGGUGAGUAACACGUAGGUAAUCUACCUUUGGAUUGGGAAUAACAACCGGAAACGGUUGCUAAUACCGAAUAAUGCAGCGGCACCUAAUGGUGACAGUUGUUAAAGCGGGGGAUCGAAAGACCUCGCGUCUAAAGAGGAGCCUGCGGCAGAUUAGCUAGUUGGUAAGGUAACGGCUUACCAAGGCGAUGAUCUGUAGCCGGCCUGAGAGGGCGGUCGGCCACACUGACACUGACAUACGGGUCAGACUCCUACGGGAGGCAGCAGUCGGGAAUUUUGGGCAAUGGGCGAAAGCCUGACCCAGCAACGCCGCGUGAAGGAUGAAAUCCCUCGGGAUGUAAACUUCGCAAGAACGGGAAGAAUAAGUGAGAGUUAAUAUCUCUCGCGAUGACGGUACCGUUUGUAAGCUCCGGCUAACUCCGUGCCAGCAGCCGCGGUAAUACGGGGGGAGCAAGCGUUGUUCGGAUUUACUGGGCGUAAAGGGCGCGUAGGCGGCCACCGCAAGUCGACUGUGAAAUCUCCGGGCUUAACCCGGAAAGGUCAGCCGAUACUGCGGGGCUAGAGUGCAGAAGGGGCAACUGGAAUUCUCGGUGUAGCGGUGAAAUGCGUAGAUAUCGAGAGGAACACCUGCGGCGAAGGCGGGUUGCUGGGCUGACACUGACGCUGAAGCGCGAAAGCUAGGGGAGCGAACGGGAUUAGAUACCCCCGGUAGUCCUAGCCUUAAACGAUGAAUGCUUGGUGUCUGGGGGUUUUAUAGUCCCCGGGUGCCGUCGCUAACGCUUU
Molecule: ribosomal RNA, 829 nt
Filed under: uncultured Actinomycetes bacterium
Lineage: Bacteria; Bacillati; Actinomycetota; Actinomycetes
Description: bacterial SSU rRNA
Rfam family: Bacterial small subunit ribosomal RNA
Source: RNAcentral